This 200-nucleotide ribosomal RNA is filed under the name uncultured bacterium. RNAcentral's name for it is "partial 16S ribosomal RNA". It matches the Rfam family "Bacterial small subunit ribosomal RNA", at positions 30 to 226 of the family's 1533-position model. The record is from RNAcentral.
AUUGAACGCUGGCGGCAGGCCUAACACAUGCAAGUCGAGCGGUAGCACAGAGAGCUUGCUCUCGGGUGACGAGCGGCGGACGGGUGAGUAAUGUCUGGGAAACUGCCUGAUGGAGGGGGAUAACUACUGGAAACGGUAGCUAAUACCGCAUAACGUCGCAAGACCAAAGAGGGGGACCUUCGGGCCUCUUGCCAUCAGAU